UCCACCACCAUCACUUCUCCCCAUCUACUAUUCUUAUGCUCCCAUUCUUCUCUCUCUUCUUUUUUUACAUCUAAUUUCCAGGAAUAUGUUUGGAGAAGGUAGCAGUGGCAACGGUUUAUUUCCGGCUUCAUUAGAGGGGAAUCGUUUCCAGUAUGAUAUGACUGCAUUGCCUCAGCUGCAACUGUUUGGGGAUGUCACCGUUGGAUGUAGUGGCUACCCGAUAAGUCACAAUGUCAAUGAUCACCCAUCUGUUG
RNAcentral lists this unclassified non-coding RNA (254 nucleotides) under Hevea brasiliensis (rubber tree). Lineage: Eukaryota; Viridiplantae; Streptophyta; Magnoliopsida; Malpighiales; Euphorbiaceae. The record is from RNAcentral.